AGUCUGGUGCCAGCAGCCGCGGUAAUUCCAGCUCUCAUAAUGUAUAGAAUUAUUGUUGCGGUUAAAAAGUUCGUAGUUGGAUUUCAUACCGCUUGGGGGUCGUGCUUAACGGCGCGCACUUCCGGCGGUGUUUAUGUCGGGUGGGGCUUGCCUCACCCAACAUGGAUUACUUUGAACGGCUUAAGUGCUCAAGGCGGGUCUUCGGACCGAAUACCGGUGCAUGGAAUAAUGGAACAAGGUUUCGGCCGAGUUUUAUUGGUUUUGUCGGCUGAGACAAUGGUUAACAGGAACAGCUGGGGGCACUCGUAUCCCAGCGCGAGAGGUGAAAUUCAUGGACCGUUGGGAGACGCCCUAAAGCGAAGGCAUUUGCCAAGAGUGUUUUCAUUAAUCAAGAACGAAAGUCAGAGGUUCGAAGGCGAUUAGAUACCGCCCUAGUUCUGACCGUAAACGAUGCAAACUAUCAAUCCGCCAGCAGCUUUCAGUUGUUGGCGGGCGGAUCGACGGAAACGAAAGUUUUUCUGUUCCGGGGGAAGUAUGGUUGCAAAGCUGAAACUUAAAGGAAUUGACGGAAGGGCACCACCAGGAGUGGAGCUUGCGGCUUAAUUUGACCCAACACGGGAAACCUCACCCGGCCAGUACAUCAUAAGGAUUGACAGAUUGAAAGCUCUUUCAUGAUUUGAUGAAUGGUGGUGCAUGGCCGUUCUUAGUUCGUGGUGUGAACUGUCUGCUUAAUUGCGAUAACGAGCGAGGCUCCGACUGUUAAAUAGCACCCGUCUCAUUGCGGGCGGGCGGCUUCUUAACUGGAUUCGCGACUUCAAGUCGCAAGAAAUGGAGCAAUAACAGGUCUGUGAUGCCCUUAGAUGUUCGGGGCCGCACGCGUGCUACAAUGAUGGUAACAGCGUGAUUGUCCUCGCCCGACAGGGCUUGGCAAACAGUUGAGAUAUUAUUAUGGCUGGAAUUGAGUGUUGAAAUUUUCUCUCAUGAACGAGGAAUUCCAAGUAAAUGCGAGUCAUCAACUUGCAUUGAUUACGUCCCUGCCCUUUGUACACACCGCCCGUCGCUACCCGGGACUGAGUUGUUUCGAGAAAUCUACGGACCGGCCUCCCCUGGCAACAGGGCUGGCUGGAAAGUAAAUUAAUCGCAAUGGCUUGAACCGGGUAAAAGUCGUAACAAGGUAUCAGUAGGUGAACCUGCUGAUG
Molecule: ribosomal RNA, 1199 nt
Filed under: metagenome
Description: bacterial SSU rRNA
Rfam family: Eukaryotic small subunit ribosomal RNA
Source: RNAcentral